Pipistrellus kuhlii (Kuhl's pipistrelle) is the source of this 6720-nucleotide RNA transcript. It is a transcript of the gene named alsin Rho guanine nucleotide exchange factor ALS2, with no coding region annotated. The transcript is spliced from 34 exons. The record is from RefSeq and is a predicted model, not a curated record. Lineage: Eukaryota; Metazoa; Chordata; Mammalia; Chiroptera; Vespertilionidae.
CCCCCGUGAAUCAGCUGAUCUCGCGGUGUUGUUGGGUUACAGGCUCGCGGAGGAUGCAGACCACGGCGCUGCUGGUGGAGCGUCAGGUCUAAUUUAGAUGCUUUUACAAAGAGGAAAUGAUUUGGUGAUGGAGUGCUCCCACUGACCGAUGGACUCAAAGAAGGGAAGCUCACCAAAGGCAGAAGGAUCCAAAGAAAGAGGCCUGGUCCAUGUCUGGCAGGCGGGAUCCUGCUCUGUAACCCCAGAGAGAUUGCCCGGCUGGGGAGAAAGGACUGUUCUUCAGGCGGCCCUGGGAGUGAAGCAUGGAGUUCUUCUGACGGAAGAUGGGGCAGUGUACAGCUUCGGCGCCCUCCCCUGGCGAAGUGCCCCGGCAGAGGCCUGUCCCAGCAGCCCCGUCCUCGAACAUGCCCUGGCUGGACAGUGUGUCGUCGCUGUGGCAGCGGGCAGUUUCCACAGCGGCGCGGUGACAGAGGGCGGCGUGGCGUACAUGUGGGGGGAGAACUCCGCUGGCCAGUGCGCCGUCGCCAACCAGCCGCGGGUUCCGGAGCCCAGCGCCGUCAGCAUUGCUGACUCCGAGACCAGUCCUUCGUUGGCAGUCAGGAUUGUGCAGUUGGCAUGUGGCGAGGAGCACACGCUGGCAUUGUCGAUCAGCAGAGAGAUUUGGGCAUGGGGUACCGGUUGUCAGUUGGGUCUCAUGACCACUACCUUCCCAGUGACAAAGCCACAGAAGGUGGAGCACCUUGCCGGGCGUGUAGUGCUCCAGGUGGCCUGUGGCGCGUUCCACAGCUUAGCGCUCGUGCAGUGCCCCCCUUCUCAGAAGCCAGUCCCGGAACGAUGCAACCAGUGCAGCCAGCUCUUGAUCACUAUGACUGACAAAGAAGACCACGUGAUUAUAUCGGACAGUCACUGUUGCCCACUCGGUGUGACCUUGGCGGAAUCCCAGGCAGAAAACCAGGCGAGCACUGCCAUCAGCCCCUCCACGGAAACCCGGGACAGCCUGGGAGAGGUAUUUGAGAGCACGGGUGUACAGCAUGACCUGGCUGUCGCUAACAAACUGAAUGUUGGCCAUGUCCAUACCACGAGUGGCAAUGCCAUUCCCUCCCCACCGGACAUCAUAGGAACAACAGAAACAUCUGCUGGAAGCAUACCCUCAGACCCUGCUGCUCCGGCAGGGAGUGAACUCGCGCAGAAACUGUCAGACCCCUCAACGAGAGAGAACUCGGAGAACCAUGAAAAGCCAGUGCCAUCCCAGCCCCUUGUAGAAGAAGCAGUUCCUAAUCUUCACAGCCCACCAACCACAAGCACCUCAGCCCUAAACAGCCUCGUGGUCUCAUGUGCAUCUGCUGUUGGUGUGAGAGUAGCUGCUACCUAUGAAGCUGGGGCCUUGUCUCUUAAGAAAGUUAUGAACUUUUAUAGUACAGCCCCGUGUGAGCCUGGAGCUCAGGCAGGCGGCAGUUCCAUAGGCCCAGAAGGUUUGAAGGACAGCAGAGAAGAGCAGGUUAAACAGGAAUCCAUGCAAGGAAAGAAGAGUUCAAGUCUCGUGGAUAUCAGAGAAGAAGAAUCAGAGGGAGGCAGCCGCAGGCUCUCCCUCCCUGGAUUGUUGUCACAAGUGUCCCCCAGGCUGCUAAGAAAGGCUGCACGCGUGAAAACACGGACAGUGGUUCUGACCCCGACAUACAGCGGAGAAGCAGACGCGCUCCUGCCUUCCCUGAGAACAGAGGUGUGGACCUGGGGCAAAGGGAAGGAAGGGCAGCUGGGGCAUGGUGACGUCCUGCCCAGGCUUCAACCAUUGUGUGUAAAAUGUCUGGAUGGUAAAGAGAUAAUUCACCUAGAGGCAGGUGGCUACCAUUCCCUUGCACUUACUGCGAAAUCCCAGGUUUACUCAUGGGGCAGCAAUACCUUUGGCCAACUUGGGCAUUCCGAUUUUCCAACAACUGUUCCUCGUCUUGCAAAGGUAAAGAGUGACAAUGGAGUCUGGAGUGUAGCUGCAGGCCAGGAUUAUUCCCUGUUUUUAGUGGAUACAGAAGACUUCCAGCCUGGGUUAUAUUACAGUGGCCGGCAGGACCAUACAGAAGGUGACAACCUUCCAGAGAAUCCCAGUGGUACUAAGGCUCCAGUACUUCUCUCCUGUAGUAAGCUUGGAUAUAUAAGCAGAGUGGCAGCUGGAAAAGACAGCUAUCUAGCCUUGGUGGACAAGAACAUUAUGGGGUAUAUUGCCAGUCUCCAUGAGUUGGCUGCUACAGAAAGAAGGUUUUAUUCAAAACUAAGUGACAUCAAAUCUCAGAUUCUCAGGCCUCUUCUCAGUUUAGAAAAUUUGGGCACCGCAAGUACUGUCCAGCUGUUGCAAGAAGUGGCAAGCCGAUUCAGUAAGCUGUGUUACUUAAUUGGGCAGCAUGGAGCCUCACUGAGCAGCUUCCUUCAAGGGGUCAAGGAAGCCAGGAGCCUGGUCAUUCUGAAGCAUGCCAGUCUCUUCUUGGAUAGUUACACAGAGUAUUGUACAUCUAUUACACAUUUCCUGGUUAUGGGAGGAUUCCAGCUGCUCGCUAAGCCUGCCAUUGAUUUCCUAAAUAAAAACCAAGAGCUGUUGCAAGAUUUAUCAGAAGUGACUGAUGAAAACAUGCAGUUGAUAGAAAUACUGAAUACUUUGUUUUUCUUGCCAACUAGACGACUUCAUAAUUAUGCAGAAGUUUUGCUAAAGCUUGCUACUUGUUUUGAAGUGACAUCUCCAGAAUACCAGAAACUGCAGGAUUCCAGUUCUUGUUAUGAGUCUCUUGCUCUCCAUCUCGGCAGGAAAAGGAAGGAAGCAGAAUACACCCUGGGCUUCUGGAAGACCUUCCCUGGCAAAAUGACGGAUUCCUUAAGGAAGCCAGAGCGCCGGCUGCUGUGUGAGAGCAGUAACCGAGCCUUAUCUCUGCAGCAUGCUGGGAGGUUCUCUGUGAACUGGUUCAUUCUCUUUAAUGAUGCACUGGUCCAUGCCCAGUUCUCCACACACCAUGUUUUCCCUUUGGCCACCAUAUGGGCAGAGCCACUUUCUGAAGAAGCAGGUGCUGUGAAUGGUUUGAAGAUAACUACACCUGAGGAGCAGUUCACUCUCAUUUCAUCAACACCCCAGGAAAAGACUAAGUGGCUACGGGCUCUCAGCCAGGCUGUGGAUCAGGCCUUGAGAGGGGCAUCUGAACAUCCACCUUACGGAGGUGGCAGCAGCGUUCAGAGGCAGGAGCCGCCCAUUUCACGCAGUGCUAAGUACACUUUCUAUAAGGAUCCUCGCCUGAAGGAUGCCACCUAUGAUGGACGCUGGUUUUCAGGGAAGCCUCAUGGAAGAGGGGUUUUGAAGUGGCCAGAUGGAAAGAUGUAUUCUGGCAUGUUCAGGAAUGGCUUGGAAGAUGGGUAUGGAGAAUACAGAAUCCCAAACAAAGCACUGAGCAAAGAAGACCAUUAUGUGGGCCAUUGGAAAGAAGGAAAGAUGUGUGGUCAGGGAGUCUAUAGUUAUGCCUCUGGUGAAGUGUUUGAAGGUUGUUUUCAAGAUAACAUGCGUCAUGGUCACGGUCUCCUACGAAGUGGAAAACUGACUUCCUCUUCUCCCAGCAUGUUCAUUGGCCAGUGGGUAAUGGAUAAGAAAUCAGGAUAUGGUGUCUUUGAUGAUAUCACAAGGGGGGAAAAGUAUAUGGGAAUGUGGCAAGAUGAUGCAUGUCAAGGGAAUGGUGUGGUAGUUACCCAGUUUGGAUUAUACUAUGAAGGCAACUUUCACCUUAAUAAAAUGAUGGGAAAUGGGGUUUUGCUUUCUGAAGAUGAUACUAUCUAUGAGGGAGAAUUUUCGGAUGACUGGACUCUUAGUGGAAAGGGAACACUGACUAUGCCAAAUGGAGAUUACAUUGAAGGUUAUUUUAGUGGAGAAUGGGGAUCUGGCAUAAAAAUCACUGGAACCUACUUUAAGCCUAGUCUGUAUGAGAGUGAUAAAGACAAACCCAAAGUUUUCAGGAAACUAGGAAAUCUGGCUGUGCCGGCUGAUGAGAAGUGGAAAGCAGUGUUUGAUGAAUGUUGGCGUCAGUUGGGCUGUGAAAGUCCAGGCCAAGGGGAAGUCUGGAAAGCAUGGGACAACAUUGCUGUGGCCCUGACUGCCAACCGGCGCCAACACAGAGACAGUCCAGAGAUACUAAGUCGUUCACAGACUCAGACACUAGAGAGUUUGGAGUUCAUUCCUCAGCAUGUUGGUGCCUUCUCAGUGGAGAAAUAUGAUGACAUCAAGAAAUAUUUAAUAAAGGCCUGUGACACUCCUCUGCACCCCCUGGGCAGGCUCGUGGAGACACUGGUUGCCGUGUAUAGAAUGACAUACGUGGGCGUGGGAGCCAACCGCCGGCUACUGCAGGAGGCUGUGAAGGAGAUUAAGUCCUACCUUAAGCGGAUUUUCCAACUGGUGAGGUUUUUAUUUCCCGAGCUUCCUGAAGAGGGCAGCACCAUUCCUCUCUCGGCUCCCCUGCCCACAGAAAGGAAAUCCUUCUGCACUGGGAAGUCAGAUUCCAGAUCCGAGUCCCCGGAGCCGGAGCCGGGUUACGUGGUAACCAGUUCUGGGUUGCUGCUUCCUGUGCUCCUGCCUCGGCUCUACCCACCUCUGUUCAUGCUCUACGCCCUGGAGAACGACCGUGAGGAGGACAUUUACUGGGAGUGUGUUCUGCGACUAAACAAGCAGCCAGAUAUCGCCCUGCUGGGCUUCCUUGGGGUUCAGAGGAAGUUUUGGCCAGUGACCUUGUCAAUCCUUGGAGAGACUAAAAAGGUUUUGCCAACCACAAAAGAUGCUUGUUUUGCCUCAGCCGUAGAAUGUCUACAGCAGAUCAGCACAACAUUUACCCCAUCCGACAAACUGAAGGUCAUCCAGCAGACUUUCGAGGAGAUCUCUCAGGGCGUCCUGGCGUCUCUGCAGGAGGACUUCUUGUGGUCCAUGGACGACCUGUUUCCUGUUUUCUUAUAUGUGGUGCUACGGGCCAGAUUCAGAAGGAAGAUGUACACAUAAAUGAUUCAGUAUCUUUUUCUCAUUGGGCAGGAUUAGGAAUUUAGGCUCUGAGGUACAUCUCAUUGAGGAUCUAAUGGACCCAUACCUUCAGCAUGGGGAACAGGGCAUCAUGUUCACCACCUUGAAGGCAUGUUACUACCAGAUCCAGCGUGAGAAGCUUAACUAGGUUGCGUAACAGCUAACAACUGGAUUAUCUCCACAGAGUGUUAUAGCACCAUCUGGCACCUUCCUGUAGUGGCAAAAAAGAAUGGUCUUGAAAUUAGGAUGUUGUGUUAUUUUGGUCAUUUCUGAGCCUUACUAAUGAUCAGAGCUCUGAGCCCAGAGGAAGAGACUGUACAGUUUAAAGGGGAGAUCGAAAAGGAGGCAGAAUUCAGAUUGGACCAGUCCCUGGUCUAUGUUAAGUUCCCCAGCUCUCAUCUACAACGGUUUGGACAAAGAAGACAAGCCUUCCGUCCCUUCCUCAGCGUAGGCUGUGCUGCUCCACACGUCAGGAAGCCCUCUGGAGCUUCCUGCGUUAAGGAAGUUGAUGGAUAUUUUUGAGUCUCUGGUUUGCCUGCAGUUACCCCAGACCCUUUUGCAAGGAGCACAUUGUUCUCGAAACGACGGUAACCACACUAUGCCUUCCUGAGUUCCUUGCAAACCAGGGUGCAUUCUGCUGCUUUGCUGAGUGAGACAGGGGCAAGAGGAACUUUUAAACUGCAGUUUUAACUUUUUCUAAGCUUUUCCACCAGGGUAUUCAUCAUGGGAGAGAGGUUCAAAAUAAUGACCAACAAAUUCCAACCCUAAGCAAGGACCGUGUCCAAACAGGAGUAUUUGCCUCCUGAGUAAAAGAACACGGGAAUUUUGUCCUUGGUUUCCUUCCAAUGAGUGCCACAGAGUGAAUACACUGGACUCCACACUGACUCUGAGCUGCUGCGGAUCCUCCCCUGUCCGCAGGCAAAGGCUGAGCCCGAGGCCUGGGAAUGAGGUGAAGACUUUUGCAUGCAGGCUGCAGCGGAGCCAAGGCUGGGAGACAGGGAAGCGGAGACCUGCGUCCGUCCCUGACCUCGUGCUGUGCUUCCCUGCGCCUCCCAUGGGACUCGCAGGGGAAGGAAAAGGAAACGAGCUCGGCUUUUCCCAUCUGACACAUAUUGUGACACCUCAACGUCGUAGUGUUCUGCUUUUUUUUUUUUUUUAUGUUGUAAGCGGUGGUUUAUACUGUACAAGUAACACUAGUAGCUGUUUGGAUAACAUAGGUGCUCUUCCUCAUCUCAUCUGCACACGUGGGGAGCGUACGGAGUGUCCUCCUGAUUUGUUAAACAUCAGCAGAUGCUAACUUAAAACAGGAUCAUGGUUUCUGCUCUACUUUAUAAUCAAGACGAGUGUUUAUUAAAAUAUUGUUUUGGAAUGUUGGCUGUAAUGUAACAGCAAUUUUCAUAAUAAAAGACAUUCAUCUCUAUGAGGUUGUUUUGAUUGCAGAGGAAAUGACACAGGGCAGCCUGCAGUUAUAAAAAGCCAGGCUCCGUGUUUUGGUGCCCACAUUGUCAUCCGUGCCUCAGGCUCCUCGAGGGUCCUAGACAUCUCUCUCUCUAAAACAAACUAACUUAAUUAUAAUUAUGGCACCUUUAGUGACAAAGGUCAAAUUAUUAACCUUCUGAUCCUAUUAGCCUGAAGACAAGGGUCUUAAAACAAGUCUGUUAUUUCUUUGAAUAAAAGGCAUAUUUUGAUAGUUA